This 73-nucleotide transfer RNA is filed under the name Bacteroidetes bacterium ADurb.Bin302. Its description in RNAcentral is "tRNA-Gln". It matches the Rfam family "tRNA". From Rfam's summary of the family: Transfer RNA (tRNA) molecules are approximately 80 nucleotides in length. Their secondary structure includes four short double-helical elements and three loops (D, anti-codon, and T loops). Lineage: Bacteria; Pseudomonadati; Bacteroidota. The record is from RNAcentral.
UGGGGCGUAGCCAAGUGGUAAGGCAUGAGAUUUUGGCUCUCACAUUCCGUGGGUUCGAGCCCCACCGUUCCAA